CUACGUAGGGUGCGAGCGUUGUCCGGAAUUACUGGGCGUAAAGAGCUCGUAGGUGGUUUGUCGCGUCGUCUGUGAAAUUCCGGGGCUUAACUCCGGGCGUGCAGGCGAUACGGGCAUAACUUGAGUACUGUAGGGGAGACUGGAAUUCCUGGUGUAGCGGUGAAAUGCGCAGAUAUCAGGAGGAACACCGGUGGCGAAGGGGGGUCUCUGGGCAGUAACUGACGCUGAGGAGCGAAAGCAUGGGUAGCGAACAGGAUUAGAUACCCUGGUAGUCCAUGCCGUAAACGGUGGGCGCUAGGUGUAGGGGUCUUCCACGACUUCUGUGCCGUAGCUAACGCAUUAAGCGCCCCGCCUGGGGAGUACGGCCGCAAGGCUAAAACUCAAAUGAAUUGACGGGG
RNAcentral lists this ribosomal RNA (398 nucleotides) under uncultured bacterium. RNAcentral describes it as "partial 16S ribosomal RNA". It matches the Rfam family "Bacterial small subunit ribosomal RNA", at positions 523 to 918 of the family's 1533-position model. The record is from RNAcentral.